Molecule: long non-coding RNA, 981 nt
Organism: Corythoichthys intestinalis (scribbled pipefish)
Lineage: Eukaryota; Metazoa; Chordata; Actinopteri; Syngnathiformes; Syngnathidae
Exons: 3
Source: RefSeq, a predicted model, not a curated record
CUGCCGCUCAUGUCUGCGGGUUGUCAACGAGCUCAUGUAAUGAUGAUGAUGAUGACGACGACUCCAAAGUGCUGACAGAAACAAGCCGGCUAAUCAGGCGGGGAGCCCGACGCCCGCCCCCGUGAAGCUCGCCGACGACCGCAGCCUCCGCCGAGACCUCGCCAGCAGGUGACUCGUAGAAAGAGGCGUAAUGGGAGGAAAUCAAGAACGUAAACAUGACUCCUCUUGUUCUCCUCCACCCUUUGAUUCCACCCAAGAGGAAAUACGCUACAAGAGAGCUCUUCACAAUGCCUUUGGCCAUCUCCUUGCCAGUGGUCUUGAGGAUGGCCUUCAGGCCCAGAUUGUCCACAUUAUACGCCGUCUCACCUACGUUGGUCACGGAGGUGGAAAACGCUGUUAGGCAAGGGAAGACAACUUGAUGUGCCUCACAACAACACUUACUGUACGUUGAUGGACAUAUAUCGAGACUAAGUGCAUUCUACUUUGAUGAUGGAAGGCUCGACUAAUGCUCCACCUUUGUAAAUAUUUUUCUAAUAACUUUAUAAAUUGUGAUUUAUUGACCUAUUUUGCACAUGCACCAAUCAUCCAUCCAUCCAUCCAUCAUCUUCCGCUUGCUUCGAGGUCGCGUCGCAGGGGCAGCAGCUUUAACAAGAUAGCCCAGACUUUCCUUUCCCCAGCCACUUCAACCAGCUCCUCCGACAGGAUCCCAAGGCGUUCCCAGGCCAGCCGAGAGACAGUCUCUCCAGCAUGUCCUGGGUCAUCCCCGGGGCCUCCCGCCGGUGUGACGUGCCUGGAACACCUCUCCGGGGAGGCGUCCAGGAGGCAUCCGAACCAGAUGCCCGAGCCACCUCAGCUGGCUCCUCUGAAAGCUUAAGAGUAGCGGCUCGACGCAGAGUCCCUCCCAGAUGACCGAGCUUCUCACCCUACCUCUAAGGGAGAAUCCGGACACCCUGCGGAGGAAACUAAUUUCAGCCGCUUAUA